This is a long non-coding RNA of Asparagus officinalis (garden asparagus), 484 nucleotides long. RefSeq lists it as uncharacterized. The transcript has 3 exons. The record is from RefSeq and is a predicted model, not a curated record. NCBI's taxonomy places the organism in Eukaryota, Viridiplantae, Streptophyta, Magnoliopsida, Asparagales, Asparagaceae.
AUUCGGACAAAAACUUAUGGCCCCACUGAAAUGAUUCAGAUAUUGACAAGCUGGUAAUUUAUGAAGAAAGUCUAGCUUACGUGGUAGAGAUUGGGCAACAAGCAUCUUUGAGGAUGAAGGUUACAAGGUGAUGGAUGGUGGAGGGGAGAAUAUUUUGAAUAGAAUUAGUUGGAAGGAGACAAAGCAUUGGGAGAGACUCAUGAAGGAAGAACUCAUCUUGAUAAUUUAUGUGCUCGCCAUGAUCUUUAUCAUUCAAAUUCUAUUUAUUCAUGGUUUAUUGCUUCACUGUCAUAGGUCUUUGAAUAGGUUUUCAUUUGUUAGAUUUGUAUUUCAGUUAAAGGCUGUAGGAUGUGGAGAAGUUGUGAAUCUUGAAAAUGGUCUAAACUCAAUGUUUUAUAGUUGAUUAUCACUUCAUUGAAUUUAUUGACAAAGCUUGUAUCGAACACACAUUAUUUUUUAAUUGAUUAAGUUAAUUUCUUAUUUA